GAAUGUUUUAUCAAACAUGAGGAUCAUUAUAGAGCAAGAGUCAAUUUUCACUGUGGUUUUGAGAAGAUCAAUGUGAUCUCAGAAAAAUUGACUGACUCUCAAAAGGUUUUGUUUAGUAAGACUUGCUUUGGUCAUUUUCUAAACCUUAAAUCUUAUGCUAAUCAAGCUAAAUUGGUUCACCAUGUUUUGUUGAGAGAAGUUAACCAGCCAAACUUAAAUGAAAUGUGGUUUAAAGUUUGUGGAAAGCUGAUUAGGUUUUCUUUGGGUGAAUUUGGGUUAUUGUCUGGGUUAAAUGUGUUUGGUGACAUUGAUAGAGGUGGAAUUAAGAAUAGUAAUCCUAUUGGAUUGUAUUCUAAAUUUUUUGGUGACCAUACAAGGGGCAUUUCAAGAAUUAUUGUUGAAGAAAGGUUUAAGGCUGCCAGUUUUGAUAAUGAUGAUGAGGCUGUUAGGAUGGCUGUACUUUACCUGAUCACUAACUUUUUGUAUGCUUGGCAAAAAGAGAAGAACAUUGAAAAAACUGACUUGUAUCUUUGUGAUAGUGGUGGUUUUAAUCAUUUUCCAUGGGGAAAGGAUAUUUUUAAUGUGACUCUCUCAUCUUUGAGAGAUGCUUUAAGGGAAAAUGAAGUUGUUAUUACUCGACAAGGUUCUUACCCAACCUAUAAGUUGAAUGGUUUGCCAUUUGUUUUCCAAGUUUUCAUUUACGAAUCAAUUCCUAGUUUAGAGGGAACUUAUUGUGAGAAGGUUAGUUGUGGUCUGCCUAGGAUUAUAAAUUGGUCAUCUGUUGCAAUCCCAUCUCAUAAGGAGCUUGAGAGGAAUGUGUUUUCAUUACAUAAGACCAAAAUUGUUAAAGUUUUGCCCACUGAUGAAGAGAACAAUGCCUUCAAGCUUGAAGGUUUUUUCCAGUGCAACAAGGAUAUGAAUGUUGCUGAUUUUGAGGAUGAUGAUUUUGUUGCUCCUCCAAAGAAACCAACCAGUGAGGCUCCUUCAUCAUCCUAUGUUCCUUGUGUGACAUUUGGUUUUUCUGAUAUGAAAAUUAUUGUGGAUGAAUGUCAGAAGAAGUGUAACAUUAUGUCUAAGGAAAUUGCAUUUUUAAAGUCUGCUAGUGAAUCUAGACAUAGGGCAUUGAUGGAGAUAUUGGUUAAUUUGAAAAACGAUCAAGAUUUAAAACACAAGGCAGUUAUGGAAAUGUUAGGUGAGUUGAGGCCAAAAUCAUGUGGUAUUAAUGAUGAUAUUGAUCCUGUUGAUGUUGGUUUUGUGGGAGCUGAUGUUGGUGAUACUUCUGGUGGUGGUGGUGUUUCAAAGGAAAAUGAUAAGUUUUUUGAAAAUGAAAGUUUUACCCAAGUUUUUGAUGAAUGCAUUCAAGCAAUGCAAGAAGAUGCUGCUGGAGAUAUGGUAAUUGCAGAUGAUAAGAAUGAUACAGUAAAUGAGAAUGAGAAGACUACUGGGAAUGAUGUUGAAGAAACAAUGAAUAUUGUCAAACCUCAUGAUGAUGUAGCUGAUGUUGUUAAAGAUCUAGAAGAAGAGGCUCAUAUUUUUAACAACAUGAAUGUGGAGAUUUUUGAUAAAGUUGUUCAUGCAGCUGUUGGUGAUUUGGCAAAGAAAAAGGUAACUAAACAAGGCAGAUAUUGUAUUUUUUUUCUUUUUGCAAUAUUUUCCAAUAGUUGUAUUAUUGAGUUUUUCAUAUUAUUUUUGUUUCUAGGAAGUUGUUAUGGCAACACCCAUUGCUGGUUCUUUGAUGAAUCCAGUAGUUGUGUCUACUCCUGUUGUUGGCAAAAGGAAUCCAAAGCCUACUACAGUUUUGCAAUCUCCUUUUGUUAACCAAUUUGGAUCAUCUUCUUCUGAGGAUAUGAAACAUUUGGAGGUUGUGAAGUCUAAAAGGAAGGUUGUGGGACGAUAUGCUUUUGGAGACAAUCUUUUUGAUCUGCCUAAUCAAAUUGACCAAGACUCUUUUAACAAGUGGUUUUCUCUGGGGCUGAGAAAAAAUAAUAAGUAUAAGAAAUUUGAUGAUAAUAAUAGUAUCAUUAAGGAGCCAUUUCAGUUUUGUGUAACUGAGAUUGAGAGAAAAAUUUGGUUUUAUGAUUUAGUUAAAGAUGGGAGGGAUUUGGACAAUGAGCAUAUUAAUGUGGCAUUUUAUUACCUUAGAAAAAAAGCCAAGUAUUGUGAGUUGAUAAAGGUUAGAGUUACUAUUACAGAUAACUCUUUUGAUCAAGUUAUCACUGCUCUGUAUGAUGUGUAUCUGUCAAGUGAUUGUGAUCGAUCUGUUAUAUCGAAUAACAGUGUUAUUUUUGAGUAUAUUUGUGGUUAUAAAAUGCUUUGUAACACCCCUUGGUCGCUAGUAGAUUUCGUUUUAUUCCCUAUUAAUAUGACUGCUGUUGGCUGUAAUCAUUGGAUUCUUGGGGAGUUCAACGUGAAGCAGAGAUUUUUUAAAGUCUACAACUCAAUGAGGAAUAGAGUUAUGGAUAAGAAAGAGUUGAAAGUUGUUGAAGCAUAUUCUACUUUGUUGCCCUUGUUUCUUUCUUUAAAUAAUUUUUAUGAGUCAAGGGAAGAUAUUGAUCUAAAUGCACAAGCAUUCAAGGGCAUUGAUAUGUGUCACCCGUUGGACAUUGUGUUUGAUGAUGAGGUUCCACAACAGAGUAACAAGUAAGUGGUUUUUUUUUUAGUUAUUGUUAUUUUUUGGUUGCAUGAUUUUGUUUAUAUGCAUUUAUGUGUUACUGAUUUUGAGUUUUUUUUUUUUGUAGUGAUUGUGGGAUUUUUAUCAUAAAGUUUGCUGAAUUUCUUAUGCAUGGACUUAUUGAAAAUAUCCCCAAUCCUCUGAAUGUUAGUUUCCAGAGAAACAAAAUUGCAGUCGAGCUAUAUGUCCAUGCUAAAAGAAAGAAAGAUGAAGGCUAUCUAUCUGAUGGGGAGUUCAGAGGAAGAAUGAGCAAGAAGAUGUUGAAUAUUAAUGCAAUGGAAGUAUGAGAGCAUCAAAGUAGUUAACAUUUUGGCGCUUAUCUUGUAAAGACGAUACAUACUUAUGGCAAGAUAACUUUUGUGUUUUUGUUUUGCAAACUUUCAAGCAAGUAUCAUGUUUGAAUAUUUUGAAUACUAUGGCAUAUCAAUGAAUUUUGAUAUUAGCCCUUUUUUUAUGAGGAAUGUUGUACAGAGGUGUCUCAAGUUUGUAACUUGAGUUCACAACUUUAUUUUUAUAUUUCAUGUUUUAGGUAACAUCUGUUAAAAGUUUGUAACCUAAGUUCAUGCAAAAUUGCGUAGCA
RNA transcript from Humulus lupulus (European hop), 3251 nucleotides. RefSeq lists it as uncharacterized. The transcript is spliced from 5 exons. NCBI's taxonomy places the organism in Eukaryota, Viridiplantae, Streptophyta, Magnoliopsida, Rosales, Cannabaceae. The record is from RefSeq and is a predicted model, not a curated record.